This 385-nucleotide ribosomal RNA is filed under the name uncultured eukaryote. RNAcentral describes it as "partial small subunit ribosomal RNA". It matches the Rfam family "Eukaryotic small subunit ribosomal RNA", at positions 587 to 972 of the family's 1831-position model. The record is from RNAcentral. RNAcentral also lists the same sequence under 1 other name.
AGCUCCAAUAGCGUAUAUUAAAGUUGUUGCGGUUAAAAAGCUCGUAGUUGGAUCUCGGCGAGUAGGGGGCGGUUCGUUGUUUGACGGUACUGCCCCAUUUACUCGUGUUUUUGACAGAGGGUUGGAGGUCCCCUUCAUUGGGUGUCUUCGGUCACUGUCAGGUUUACUUUGAAAAAAUUAGAGUGCUUAAAGCAGGCGUCAUACGCCUGAAUAUUUGUGCAUGGAAUAAUGGAAAAGGAUAAUUUACCUUUUUUGUUGGUUAUACGGUCGAAUUAUAAUGAUUAAUAGGGACAAUCGGGGGCAUUAGUAUUCAAACGACAGAGGUGAAAUUCUUGGACCGUUUGAAGACUAACUACUGCGAAAGCAUUUGCCAAGAGUGUUUUCA